AUACUUACCUGGACGGGGUCGACGGGCGAUCAAGAAGGCCCGUGGCCUAGAUCAAAUGCUCACAUUGCACUUGGUGAGCGCGUUGGUUUACCAUCUCCCCAAGUGGGAGAGUGGACGUCAUAAUUUGUGGUAGAGGGGGUACGCGUUCGCGCGGCCCCUG
This 160-nucleotide small nuclear RNA is filed under the name Oryza brachyantha (malo sina). Its description in RNAcentral is "U1 spliceosomal RNA". It matches the Rfam family "U1 spliceosomal RNA". Rfam says of the family: U1 is a small nuclear RNA (snRNA) component of the spliceosome (involved in pre-mRNA splicing). Its 5' end forms complementary base pairs with the 5' splice junction, thus defining the 5' donor site of an intron. The record is from Rfam by way of RNAcentral. Lineage: Eukaryota; Viridiplantae; Streptophyta; Magnoliopsida; Poales; Poaceae.